RNAcentral lists this ribosomal RNA (480 nucleotides) under uncultured bacterium. RNAcentral's name for it is "bacterial SSU rRNA". It matches the Rfam family "Bacterial small subunit ribosomal RNA", at positions 217 to 713 of the family's 1533-position model. The record is from RNAcentral.
GGCAAGAGAUGAGCCCGCGUUGGAUUAGCUAGUUGGUGGGGUAAAGGCCUACCAAGGCGACGAUCCAUAGCUGGUCUGAGAGGAUGAUCAGCCACAUUGGGACUGAGACACGGCCCAAACUCCUACGGGAGGCAGCAGUGGGGAAUAUUGGACAAUGGGCGCAAGCCUGAUCCAGCCAUGCCGCGUGAGUGAUGAAGGCCCUAGGGUUGUAAAGCUCUUUCACCGGAGAAGAUAAUGACGGUAUCCGGAGAAGAAGCCCCGGCUAACUUCGUGCCAGCAGCCGCGGUAAUACUGAAGGGGGCUAGCGUUGUUCGGAAUUACUGGGCGUAAAGCGCACGUAGGCGGAUCGAUCAGUCAGGGGUGAAAUCCCAGGGCUCAACCCUGGAACUGCCUUUGAUACUGUCGAUCUGGAGUAUGGAAGAGGUGAGUGGAAUUCCGAGUGUAGAGGUGAAAUUCGUAGAUAUUCGGAGGAACACCAGU